GAUGAAGAACGUAGCGAAAUGCGAUACUUGGUGUGAAUUGCAGAAUCCCGUGAACCAUCGAGUCUUUGAACGCAAGUUGCGCCCGAAGCCAUUAGGCCGAGGGCACGCCUGCCUGGGCGUCACACGUCGUUGCCCCCCCCAUCUACUCCUUCGGGAUUGCGGGGGGCGGAUGAUGGCCUCCCGUGCGCCUCGCCGCGCGGUUGGCAUAAAUGCCAAGUCCUCGGCGACGCACGCCACGACAAUCGGUGGUUGCGAAACCUCGGUUGCCCGUCGUGUGCGGUCGUCGCGCAUCGAGGGCUCGAAAAAAUUGCCGAGUUCCGGCUCGGCUUUCAACGCGACCCCAGGUCAGGCGGGGUUACCCGCUGAAUUUAAGCAUAUCAAUAAGCGGAGA
RNAcentral lists this unclassified non-coding RNA (391 nucleotides) under soil metagenome. RNAcentral describes it as "partial contains 5.8S ribosomal RNA, internal transcribed spacer 2, and large subunit ribosomal RNA". The stretch from base 1 to 122 matches the Rfam family "5.8S ribosomal RNA", at positions 35 to 154 of the family's 154-position model. The record is from RNAcentral.